This 253-nucleotide ribosomal RNA is filed under the name uncultured bacterium. Its description in RNAcentral is "partial 16S ribosomal RNA". It matches the Rfam family "Bacterial small subunit ribosomal RNA", at positions 524 to 776 of the family's 1533-position model. The record is from RNAcentral.
UACGUAGGGGGCUAGCGUUGUCCGGAAUCAUUGGGCGUAAAGCGCGUGUAGGCGGCCCGAUAAGUCCGCUGUGAAAGUCCAGGGCUCAACCCUGGGAUGCCGGUGGAUACUGUCGGGCUCGAGUCCGGAAGAGGCGAGUGGAAUUCCUGGUGUAGCGGUGAAAUGCGCAGAUAUCAGGAGGAACACCAAUUGCGAAGGCAGCUCGCUGGGACGUUACUGACGCUGAGACGCGAAAGCGUGGGGAGCAAACAGG